UUCUAAUCUGUAUUCUGGAGUCUGGACUUCUAAAAAUUUGUUCCGGGUGAAGAAAAUUACGUUUAUACCCAUUCCGUUCAUGAAAGGGAAACCGAUGUGACUACAUACUUUUAUGCAAAACUGUCAACCGACCAUGACGCAGGGAUGAUUUUCUAAAUCAGUUUGAAAACCUUCACUCCAUUGCGUGAUAAGGACAUAAUUAGGAAAGAUACAAUCUAUUUAGGUCUCCUUCCUUUAAAGUUUUUAUUUUUUAAAUAUUUAUUUUUCGCUUUACGGGAUAAAUUAUUCUCUCAUAAUAUAAUACAUUUAAUUCAAAAAAUAAGUACCUAUUUAAUUUAAUUAGUGGAACACAUCCUUAUUAAUUUAGUACUAGAAUACAUACUUAUGUUGUUGCAUAUACGGUGGAUGGAAUAGGACGUUACUAAAGAUAUUUAGACAGAAUCUCGUGCAAAUAUCUUCUUGGUCGGUAAAAGAAUUUUAUUAAUCAACAUAAUUGGAACAAGUAUAAUGAUUAAGAGGAUUAUGAUUGUAGAAAUAUCACUACUGACGCCAAACGUUUCAACUAUGUUGGCAACUUGGCGGCUAACGUACGACCGCCCAUAUGAAUCCCAUACGGCUCUGUUUGGAUGACAGGAAUAUUGAGGAGGAAUAAGAAUGUGACACUAUACUUUUAUGAUUCCGAUGUUUGAAAGGAACAUGAAUAUGAAUGUGAUACCACACUCCCAGAAUUCCCAUAUUUGGGAGAGAUAAGAAUAGAAUUGUGAUUUAUGACGACACAUUCGACUAGGAAUCACAUUACUAGAUUGAGUGGGAAUCCAAUUCCUCCAUUUCUUAGAUUCCUGGCUCAAUCAAUAAAAAAAAGAAAAUAUUGAUUUUGAUAAAAUCCAAAAUAAUUGAAAUCCAAACACUGGAAUGAAAUUACUUCUGGUAUUAUAUUUUUAGGAAUUUCAUUCCUAAUGAUCAUAUUUCUACACCCACUCAAUAAAAUUUCUAAAAAUUUGAUUCCUAAUAAUCACAUUUUUAUUCCUUCUAAAAAUUCCGGUCAUCUAAAUUGAACCCAAGUAUAACACCAAAAGAAAGCUGGCAAGGAAUUAGCUAAUUAAUGAUUCCGGCGUUGAUGGUAAUUAAACUCGAUCCGUUGAAGUUGUACUUUAUUUAUAAUUAAAUUAAAUUAAAGACAAUUGAGAGCCUAGCUAGCUGUGUUCUACGUUUUAGUAAUUUUUUUUGUUCCACGUUGUUAAUUGUUAAUUCCAAUCAUGACCUGUUGGUGAGCUGCUUAGGCACGUGGGAUGAGAACCAUAUGAAAUAGGAAGAAAAACUAGCUAUUUAAUCAUGCAUAUAAAUUAAGAUCACUUAUUUGAUCUCCCUAAUUACAAAUCUUAGAUUCGAUCC
Long non-coding RNA from Rhododendron vialii, 1392 nucleotides. RefSeq lists it as uncharacterized. NCBI's taxonomy places the organism in Eukaryota, Viridiplantae, Streptophyta, Magnoliopsida, Ericales, Ericaceae. The transcript is spliced from 2 exons. The record is from RefSeq and is a predicted model, not a curated record.